GCAAUUCUUCCAAGGUUAUGUAACAGUGUUCAAACAGUACAGUGGGAAUUGUACUACCUACUUCAGAGAGAGAAAUGUGAAAUACAGAGCUCAGUCACUGGUGACAGAAGAUGGAAAUACCUAAAAGACAGUGAGACAGUCCAGCGCUGGGACAUUGGAUUCACCAUGGCUGGGAUGAGGAGACGAGUUCUCACCAAGGUGCUAAAUUGCCUAGGCUGGUCUUGAACUUGCUAUCCUCCUGCUUCAGCCUCCCAGAGAAGUAGGAUUACAGGUGUGUGCCACGACAUCCAUGCUCCAUUUACAUGAUUUAGUAUAUAAAAUGUCUGUCUGAAACAUUUAUAGUAAAUUUUUAAUCUAUGUUAACCAUGGAAACAUUAUGGAUUUCUCUAUUCUAAAUUAAUUUACAUUUACAAAUUUCAUGGUUAAACUUCAUACACAAAUUAAUGUGAUAACAUCAUGGUAUACUUAAAUGUAAGAAAAACUACAAAACAUUUAGUUUCCAUACUUUGUCAUAUUUCUCUGUGGUCUCUGUAUUAUAAUCACAUGAUAUUUGCUAUGAGUAUCUCUUACUUUUUUUUUUGGUACUGGGGAUCGAACUCGGGACCUUGUGCUUGCGAGGCAGGUGGUAGAACCACUGAACUACAUCCCGGCCCUCCUACUUUUUAUUUACCUAUAUCUGAUUUAAAACUACAACACAAAUAUUAACAAAUGUUGGAUAUAAACAAAUGAUGGCAGACAUCUGAAGUGCUUUAUGUCCUUGAAUAUAAAGAUUUGGGAGCAGACCUGGAAUGUUACAGUGAGCAUGCUGGCAAUCACAGCACCCCAUGAGGCUGAGCUAACAGAGAUGCAGCAACUUAAUGAGACCCUCAAAGUAAAACAGUGGGAAAAAACUGGCUGGGGUUGUAGUUCAGUGAAAAACCUCUGGGUUCAAUCUCCAAUAGUGGGAGGAAAAAACAAAGAGAUAAACAAAAGACCUGUUAACACAUUUUACUAUCUUGUUGUAAGUAGAGAUUAAUGGGAAUUUAGUGUAAAAAACUAACAGAAUCUAUGACAACCGACCUGCAGUUCUUGUAAUUUCUAUAGUGCUCAGCACAAUGCCCAGCACACACUGGGAGUUUCAAUAUACAAAUUAAUAUUUUCUUGUCCUCCCAGAGGUGGUAGGAAUCACACAGUAUACAAGAGAUUCUCCAUUAUCCAAAAAGCACCUAUCAUUGUUCUUUUAUAAAGAAAAAUUUCAGAGGUCAAAAAAAGUAGUACUUUGAAUUAUUACAGACCAAAGGGGCAACAGCAGAUUGGUGGUGAAGAGGAGAAUGUGAGUAGUAACAUGUCUUAUCAUCUGGUUUAUGACCUCUGACGAUAAAGAGGUAUAAGCCAAGGAAAGACAAAUAGCUGCAUGAACAGAAAACAGAAGUACUACUGAGGUGUGACAGACAAUGUCUCAUGUUUCUGUGGUGUUAUAUUUCACACAGUGUUCCAUUUUGGGGGAAAAAUUGAGUGGGUUUACUUCCCAAAUUAAGGCAAAGGCACAUGACUUCCAUGUAUUCAGCCUUGACUUUAUGUUCUUGCCAUCCUAUCCUGACACGUUUACUGCAUUUGAUGUUUCUAUGAGUCACUGUAUAAAUGGUUUUAACCUUUACUUAUUAUAAAAAAUGGUUAUUUUGGGUUGCCUAUAUUACCUCUUCAUCUUUUUUGGGACACAGUAACAUAGAAAAGGAGACAGUGACUUAUGUGCCUUAAAAAUAAGGGCACAAAAGAUUGAAUCAGAACAUUCUGUGAUUUAACCAGAAUGAAGUGCAGGUGAAUAUUUUUAAACUAGGAUGUAACCUCAGAUUAACUUUUGUGACCAUUUCCUGGUGUUUAGAAAACUUAAAGAAAAAGUAUGUUAUUAAUGAUUGCUGCUUGUCUCUUUAUAUUUGAAUUUAGAUUUUGGCACUGACAAUUUAUUGAACGAAGAACAAAGCACAUGCUUUUAAAAUCAAGCCUGGAAAUGAAGAUAACUUUUUGACAAUUGAACUUUAAAACUAUUUAGUACAAAAUUAAAGAGUAGGCUUUCUUCCUAAUGCCUCUGUGCUAGUUAGUGUUACCUCUCCUCAAAUAAUAUAUUCCCUGCACAAUGGGACGCUGUGUGUGUCUGUGUGUUGGAAUGAGGAGAGUAUGUGUUUGGAUACAGCUGGGAAAGGGAGACUUUCACUUUUGACAGGAAAGAAACAGCAACUACAUCUGCUAAGUUUCUGUUUCUAUAAAAAGAAUACCUGCUAGCCUGCUGACAUGAGGCAGACUCAACUGCAAUGUUGAAAGAUUAAGGCCAGCUGGUGUUUUUCCAGUUGAUUUGCAUUUCUGGAGCUCAAGGUGAUCCCCCUGUAUUUUUAACGGAUGUCUGUGACUCAAAAAGUUGGCAUGUUAAGAGGAUGCUGGUGCUACCUCUUCUAAAGACAUAAGAAAUCAAGUCUGAGAGAAACACAAAUAGAGAUGAUUAACAUCAAAGUGGUUAAUUUGCAAUAAUUGCUAUAUGCAUGUUUAUCAUGUUGAUUAAGUCUAUUUAUAAAGGGCCUAAGUAUAAUCUAUAUCCUGAAAUCGUGUGGGAAAGGUGCAGGAAUGCACAGAAAGAAAUUAUAUCCCUAUGUUGGAAAAAAAGGAACUGUUCAAUUAAAUGAAAGAGGAAUUGGCCAUAAAAAUUGGAUUGGGUUCAAGCAAAACAAGCUCUGUAAGCCUACUAGGCAAAAUAUCAUUGGUCAUAUCUUAUAUACAAAAUAAUUAUUGACCACUUAUCUUAUAUUUGUCUUCCCUUCUUCCCACUAUGCAUGCCCAAUACCACCACCAACAACUUAAGGCCUCAAUUCCUCUGCUGUUCAAUUCACAAGAACAG
This 2866-nucleotide long non-coding RNA is filed under the name Heterocephalus glaber (naked mole-rat). RNAcentral describes it as "lncRNA (ENSHGLG00100047206.1)". Lineage: Eukaryota; Metazoa; Chordata; Mammalia; Rodentia; Bathyergidae. The record is from RNAcentral.